GGAAGUUUUGGUGAAUAUAGAUAGGAUGUUGGUUGGAUCUGUAAUUCCAUUUCCUGUUAUUUUCACUGGCGGAAUUAAUCCUAUGUACUGGGGACCACUAGUUUCGAUUGGGGCAUUUGAUCUUCCUUCGUAUGACAUUGAUUUAACACCAUAUUUGGGGCUUUUACUCGACCGUCAAGCUCAUUUUCUAGAGCUUGGGGUGAAUGACAGUAUCCCAUUCUGGCUUGUGGGUGC
This 234-nucleotide unclassified non-coding RNA is filed under the name Hevea brasiliensis (rubber tree). Lineage: Eukaryota; Viridiplantae; Streptophyta; Magnoliopsida; Malpighiales; Euphorbiaceae. The record is from RNAcentral.